RNAcentral lists this ribosomal RNA (253 nucleotides) under uncultured bacterium. RNAcentral describes it as "partial 16S ribosomal RNA". It matches the Rfam family "Bacterial small subunit ribosomal RNA", at positions 524 to 776 of the family's 1533-position model. The record is from RNAcentral.
UACAGAGGGUGCAAGCGUUAAUCGGAAUUACUGGGCGUAAAGGGCAUGUAGGUGGUCUAUCAAGUUUGAUGUGAAAGCCCCGGGCUUAACCUGGGAACGGCGUUGAAAACUAGUAGACUAGAGUCGGAGAGAGGGUCGUGGAAUUUCCGGUGUAGCGGUGAAAUGCGUAGAGAUCGGAAAGAACACCCGUGGCUAAGGCGGCUCUCUAGUACGGUACUGACGCUGAGACGCGAAAGCGUGGGGAGCGAACAGG